RNAcentral lists this ribosomal RNA (497 nucleotides) under uncultured bacterium. RNAcentral describes it as "partial 16S ribosomal RNA". It matches the Rfam family "Bacterial small subunit ribosomal RNA", at positions 899 to 1397 of the family's 1533-position model. The record is from RNAcentral.
ACUCAAAUGAAUUGACGGGUCCCCGCACAAGCGGCGGAGCAUGCGGCUUAAUUCGAUGCGACCCGAAGAACCUUACCUGGGUUUGACAUUAUGGGAAAAGCCGUAGAGAUACGGUGUCCGAAAGGGCCCAUAACAGGUGGUGCAUGGCUGUCGUCAGCUCGUGUCGUGAGAUGUUGGGUUAAGUCCCGCAACGAGCGCAACCCUUGUCCUAUGUUGCCAGCGGAUAAUGCCGGGGACUCAUAGGAGACUGCCGGGGACAACUCGGAGGAAGGUGGGGACGACGUCAAGUCAUCAUGCCCCUUACAUCCAGGGCUGCACGCAUGCUACAAUGGUCGGUACAACGGGCUGCGAUCUCGCGAGAGUGAGCGAAUCCCUUAAAGCCGGCCUCAGUUCAGAUUGGAGUCUGCAACUCGACUCCAUGAAGUCGGAGUCGCUAGUAAUCGCGGAUCAGCAAUGCCGCGGUGAAUGCGUUCUCGGGGAUUGUACACACCGCCCGU